AAUUCGUGGCAAUUUUGCGAAUGAAUCGGCAGCCAUUUUUAAACUGCCCACUUACUAUACAGAGCAUAAAAAGGAUACGGAUAAUGGGCCUCGCGUCUUGAGACAGUAAUGUAAACGGAUGAGAUUAAACGAGGCGUGAUUAUCCCCGAAGGAAGGAAGAAUUGGACGUAACGACGCAGUAAAAGCGUGCGAGCUGCGUAGGACAACGUUGAGCGAGGCUAGUUUCGUGCGUGAAACGGAGACGGUGCUCGAGCGAACGCACUCCUUCCCCGUGAAAUUAAUGUAAUGGUGAACUGUCAACAUCCAACAGAGAGCCCUUCGGAAUAUGCCUUUGAGCCGUGUUAAUCCCGUAUUCUCGGCAGAAGUCAGAGCGCGCUCGGUCGAUUACCAGGAACGGCAGUGGUGUUGAGAGAGGGAGUGGAGAAAACAGAGGAGAGGGUUCCGCGUGGGAUUGCACGCGCGCGCGAACUGUAAAACAUGCGAGUAUAAAGAAUACGAGCGGACCCAGCAAGUAGCCCAGCAACGUGUUCAGCAACAGCAGCAGCAGCAGCAGUAGCAGCAGCAGCAGCAGCAGCAGUAGCAGUAACAGUAACAGUAGCAAUAGCAGUAGCAGCAGCAGUGGUAACAACAAUAUCGGCAACGGCAGCAAUGUCAGUUCUAAUAUGCGAGAGGACGGAUGCCACGAUCGUGUCUCUCAGAUGUUAAGUUCCUAUAAUAAUGGCAGAUAAUGUGCACAGAAAAUCGCACAAGCUGUCGGAUGGUAGUAGGAAGAUAUCGAAUCCAGUGCAUCGUACGACCACUGAGACGAUCCGUCUGGGCGAGUUAGACAAGUUGCACCAGCCGGUUAGCCUGAUCGCACCGAGCAACGUGACGGCUGGCAGCCAGUGCAAUCGAAAGAAGACGUCGUCUUUCCAGAUAACCAGCGUCACCGUAGGCUGCCGCAUGAGCAAUGACGCCGGUGAGGAUUCCAACGACGACCUGGACGAGUCGCACACGGAGGACAAUUCCGUGGAGCACUCGCGCAUCACCGACAUCGACAUCGAGACCCCCAGCUAUUCCGAGGACACGUUCUCCAAGGAGGACGUGUUCUUCAAUACGAGUAACGCCGCGCUCAGCACCGCUCCGGUGAUUCCCACCAGCUCGCAGUACGGCUUGGCCAUCGUGCCGUCCGAGGGCAGCAACGUUAGUAAUUCGGUGAACGAUAGCAAUAUCAAUACUCUGGACAUUACGUCGGUUACUGACAACAAUAUAAUCAACUUGCUGUCGAGUAACGUGAAGCAAGACGCCGACCUGCGGGAGGUGCACUCGCACGGUAGGAACGAGCGAUUCAAAGUGGUGAAAAUCGAGAGUACGGAGCCGUUCAAGAGGGGACGAUGGACUUGCAUGGAUUACCUGGAUCAUACGUCCGUUAAUCAGCCGACGGCCAUCGGGACUCCCAAAGUGUCCGAUCCGAACGAGGUGUGCAUAUCUUACGGGGUGACCGACAGCGGAAUCGUUAUACCGGAGGCUGCGAAGCAAUCCGUAGUGUCUGACGAUAAAGGGAUUAGUAUCGAUAGCAAUGGACAAGUGACGACGUCUCACCCGGACACAGUGCAUACGUCCAUUACUGUGCCGAACAAUCCGACGUCGGUGCCGAAUGCAAACUACGCGGUCAACAACUCGUUACCCCCCAAUGUACAGCAUAAUCCCACGCAGGUUCAAGCCCAGGCUAAAGUGCAGCCACCACCUACGCAAAUCCCGCAAUACUUUCAGUCGCAGACCCAGCCGAUAGCCGCUCAACAACCGCCGCAGCAGCAACCGCCGCAGGGGGCUCAAGGAUCCACAUUGCCCUCUAACUUGCAGCCCACCCAUCCCAACAGUCUCGGGCAGCCGCAGAGCAUGCCCCAGGGUUCUAUUCCUAUUAUUACGCAGACUAGUAAUAGCAAUGUGACGCCGCAGCAGAGCAUCGCUCAUGCCAAAGAGGAGGCGUACGUGACGGUGAGCACGCAGAAUCAAUCCAUGCCGGUGCAGAAUGUCUGCCAGCCGACGGUUCAGCAGAGCACCCAAGCGCCGGCCUCCCAGGCACCCAACAUCCUCGUCACGCAGCAUCAGACCGACACCGCCUGCCAGCAGCAACCUUUGCAGACGCAGAAGCAGAUUACGCAAAUCUCCGAGCCACUAACUGCCAUACAAGGGAUGCAGGGCAUGCAGAAUAUUCACAAGGUUCCUCAGACGGGGGCGCAGCCGACUUCGUCGACGAUUCACCCUUCCGGUGCGCCGGUGCAGUCGCAGGUGAUACCCUCGACGCAAAUGCAGCCGCAGACGUCCAAUAGCACCGCCCCGGUGCAGAUCACGCAGGUGACCGCCGCGGGCUGCCAGAACGUCGUCGGCGGACUGCAGCAAGGCAACAUCGCGUUUCACCAGUCCGAUCCGGAGCAAGAGUCCAUCGCGGGAAUCGUCGCCAACGCUACCGCUGCUCAGUCUGCCGAUACGACUCUGCUGGAGUCGUUGGCCGAAGUGACGCAAGGCAGCGACGAGCAUCGUGCCCUCGAAGAUAACGAAAGUAUGUCGGGGACAAGCGCUGUAGCGAUUGAUAACAAGAUCGAGCAGGCUAUGGAUCUGGUUAAAAGUCAUUUAAUGUUUGCGGUACGAGAAGAAGUCGAGGUACUGAAAGAAAAAAUAGCAGAACUAAUGGAUCGUAUCAAUCAAUUGGAAGCAGAAAAUUCACUAUUAAAAGCACACGCAACUCCAGAAACUCUGGCUCAAUUGAGUCAAUCGACAGCAAAAUUACCCCAAAACAGUUCAGGAAGUGGUUAAUAGGAAAUAUAUUUAAAGCUGUAAAUUUGAAGUUUCUUUCAAAAUGGUAAAAAAUAUCAUUUUGGACAUGUACAUUGUUACGAUUCUAGACAGAAACUGAGACAUAUAUGAGUGCAUGCCAAAACUAAGCAGCGUUAGUGACAGAGUUGGCAUUAUUUUACAUUAGAAACACGAAUCCCAACAUGUUAAAAAGAAGUAACAGUACGGUGGAAUAGGCAGCUUAACAUUCCUAGAUUACUUUUCCUGUUGUUUUAAUGUUUAGCUAAUUUAACUUACAAAUUUGAUCGAAUAUAGUGUAAUUGGCAAGUCGAACGAAGCCCUGUUCUGUUGAUUAAAAUAGAUAUUGGUGGUAAAUUUUGCUAACAUUUGUCACUUUUGAAUAUCAAAUCUAAUAUUUUAUAAUCUGAUAUUCGUGUUGUAGCCUGGUUUUUAAAGUUAUAUAUACAUAUAUAUAUAUAUACAUAUAUAUUGUAAUCAUCAAGCCGAUAUCCAAGAGACUUACUAUUGGUGUGCAUCAAAAAACCUGCAAUUCCCUGUCAACAUCUUAUGUUACAUUUUAAAAACGCCUAAUAAAAAAGAAGAUUUUUAAUUGUAUCGCAAUUGUCAAAAUUCUUGGUGUGAGGUUGCAAUAUAUCUUUAUGAAGAUAUAUAUAUAAAGAUUAUAUGAAGAUAUAAUUAAAAUGUGAGAAGUUUGUUAUGCAGUA
Molecule: unclassified non-coding RNA, 3500 nt
Filed under: Harpegnathos saltator (Jerdon's jumping ant)
Lineage: Eukaryota; Metazoa; Arthropoda; Insecta; Hymenoptera; Formicidae
Description: protein bunched, class 2/F/G isoform, transcript variant X1
Source: RNAcentral